This 554-nucleotide ribosomal RNA is filed under the name uncultured bacterium. RNAcentral describes it as "bacterial LSU rRNA". It matches the Rfam family "Bacterial large subunit ribosomal RNA", at positions 540 to 1097 of the family's 2925-position model. The record is from RNAcentral.
GAAAUAGAUCCUGAAACCGCAUGCAUACAAAAAGUCGGAGCCUGGAAACGGGUGACGGCGUACCUUUUGUAUAAUGGGUCAGCGACUUACAUUCAGUGGCAAGGUUAACCGAAUAGGGUAGCCGAAGAGAAAUCGAGUCCGAAUAGGGCGUCUAGUCGCUGGGUGUAGACCCGAAACCAAGUGAUCUAUCCAUGGCCAGGAUGAAGGUGCGGUAACACGCACUGGAGGUCCGAACCGACUAAUGUUGCAAAAUUAGCGGAUGAGCUGUGGAUAGGGGUGAAAGGCUAAACAAACUUGGAAAUAGCUGGUUCUCUCCGAAAACUAUUUUAGGUAGUGCCUCAAGUAUUACCAUCGGGGGUAGAGCACUGUUAUGGCUAGGGGGUCAUGGCGACUUACCAAAACCAUUGCAAAACUCCGAAUACCGAUGAGUACAGCUUGGGAGACAGUGCACCGGGUGCUAACGUCCGGACACAAGAGGGAAACAACCCAGACCGCCAGCUAAGGUCCCUAAAAUUGGCUAAGUGGGAAACGAAGUGGGAAGGCUAAAAACGAGU